UGAAUUUUCCCAUGACGACCCAAAAAGCAAUGGUGCAAGAAGACGAAGAAGCUGGGUAAAUGACAUGGCUCCAGCUUCCUCUGCCACACAGCUGAGGCCGUGCAUUUCAUUGCAUCCUUGGGAGAAGAGUUCAGAAUGACCCAUUGGAUGGAAAUGCUGAAAUCCUUCUUUCUCAAUGGCGAAAAGGGCAAUAAAAUUUAUGACAGCUGAGUUAUCUGCUCACCAAGGUAUAAAAAGCAGUCAGAAGAUGAGACCGUUUCAUGACCACGCAUAGGUCGCUGUAAAUCAAAACUCACACCUUUCCAGGAGUGUUCAUUCAUAAAAGAAGGAACGAAGCAUGAAGAAGCUGGCAUUCUCCCUCCUGUUGGUUUUUGUCUUAGGGACUGCAGCUCAUGUUCUGACACCCAAGAAUGAUACGAAGGAAGAAAUGGAAACUGAG
Molecule: long non-coding RNA, 439 nt
Organism: Podarcis raffonei (Aeolian wall lizard)
Lineage: Eukaryota; Metazoa; Chordata; Lepidosauria; Squamata; Lacertidae
Exons: 3
Source: RefSeq, a predicted model, not a curated record